GGAGAAAAACAACACAAGAGACCUUUUACAAGGCACGAAUAAGUGAACAGCAGCUCUUUAAAUAUGAACCUGUGGGAACUGGCAGAUACAAUAUAUCACGGGGACAGAAAGGCCAGAUGACAACUUUCUGAGUACAUGGCAUAAAAUCAGAUGGGGAGAAAAUAAACUGGUACUUUUUGGCUGACACAACCUGAGGAAAAUUACUGGCUGUUGUGCAGCUCUUGCUGGUUGUUUCAGGCAUAUCAUGUUCUGUAGUGAUUAAAAUACAACUGGUGACCGCAGGAACCCAAAUGCCCUUCUGAAUUGUGUGCAAAGUGUGACAGUGUUUCCUUCAACGCAGGACUCUGAGAGGCUUCUGUCUCAUGCACUCCAGCAGCAGGGGUAUUUCAGCAAUUCCAGAUCCUCAGACCUAUGCACAGUUAUCAGCAAAUGCAGCUGCAUGAGAGUCGGCUCUCACAGCCCCAGCCACCUAUUGCAAGAACACCAAUGAGCUGUCCUGCAUCCAAAAGUCCACCUCCAUAAUGACUGAACCUUCCAAUCAGUUUCCAACAGGCACACCGCUGCCUACACUACCUCAUACAGAGCCAAUCACAGCCAACAACACUGCCACAGGUGCCAGAGAACCAGUCCCUG
RNAcentral lists this long non-coding RNA (633 nucleotides) under Lonchura striata (white-rumped munia). RNAcentral's name for it is "domestica (Bengalese finch) lncRNA (ENSLSDG00000009328.1)". Lineage: Eukaryota; Metazoa; Chordata; Aves; Passeriformes; Estrildidae. The record is from RNAcentral.